Long non-coding RNA from Daphnia pulex (common water flea), 1202 nucleotides. RefSeq lists it as uncharacterized. Lineage: Eukaryota; Metazoa; Arthropoda; Branchiopoda; Diplostraca; Daphniidae. The record is from RefSeq and is a predicted model, not a curated record. The transcript has 6 exons.
UGAACUGCUAAUCGGAAUCUCAUCUUAUCGCUUUAUCGGGAUCGGCGUCUGCUUCAUUAGUCAUUAUCUGCCGCUUACAUCCGUAGAAUGUAAUUCGCACGUGGGCCUUACUUCUUUUAUCUUUUGAUGUGUAAAAUUGUGUUUAUACGGGAUUUGAUAUUCCUGGAACUGAAGCAGAACUCGUGAGAAAGAGUAGCCACAAACAUCAUUUUUGCUAAUGGUUGAACCUGGAUCAUGUUCUGGCUGGUGAACAAGUACAAGCUGCAUAAAAGUUCAUGUGGGGAAUUGUGCUUAGAAAGCCGCACCCAUGGGCAUGGGACUUUGAGCUGCUGCACCGUGAAAGCCAUGGAAAAACAUCCUGCCAAUGAGAAACCUACUUUUGACGCCUUCUCAGCUGCCAGUAGCGUCACGAAAACCAACAACAGCAUCGCCUUCGUUCGCCAUACCAGCAACAUACCUGUUCGUGACUUAAGACUUUCCCUCCAAAGGACGACACAACAUUCUUGGUGAAUUUCAUUAGCUGUAAGUACGCAACUGAGAAGUGAAUCCAUCGAGUUCCUGAGGUUACGAAAGAAACUUGACACCUCGAUACCGUCUCAGCCCUUUCACGGAUCAUAGAAACGUGUAACAGCUUGCGAAGUUUUGUAUUCAUCGGACAAAAUUUUCCGGCUUUAAUCAACUCAGCUCCGCAUCUCCAAGUUGAAGUCGUGGAAGUUCAAUUAAUCGGAUAUGGAAACAGUCUUUAAACAACUCGCUGCAAAACUUUGGCUCCUCUAGAAGGAUUAAGUUAUUGCUUUCGAAACCCUCCAUAUGGGAUUAUUGCAAGAUUGAGGACGUGUAUAAUGCAGUACAUUCCUAACUGGCACGAACUCACGUUUGACAGCAAAAUAAAAAUCGACAGUUGUGUCGUAACGUACACACCAUACGUAACGUAGAAGCCAAGCAUUCGUAGUGACCAUGCAGCUAGGCAGAAGAUACAACACUAUCUGGUGAGAUCAUCCAACGAGGGCUACAAUUGGAGAUCGACGUCUAAUCAAGUUCUAGAAGAAAUAUGCGCUCUUCGAGAUUUGCGCUGCUGGUCUAGAAUAUUUUUCGUCGUGGUGGAUUGGAGCAACAGCUCAGUUUCACGAAUUCCGUUUGGAUAUCCAAUAGGUGUAUUACGUACUCUAUUGGAGACUGUUAGACAAUCUUACAGAAUUUCU